This 532-nucleotide ribosomal RNA is filed under the name uncultured bacterium. RNAcentral's name for it is "bacterial SSU rRNA". It matches the Rfam family "Bacterial small subunit ribosomal RNA", at positions 777 to 1305 of the family's 1533-position model. The record is from RNAcentral.
AAUAGAUACCCUGGUAGUCCAUGCCGUAAACGUUGGGCGCUAGGUGUGGGGUCCAUUCCACGGGUUCCGUGCCGCAGCUAACGCAUUAAGCGCCCCGCCUGGGGAGUACGGCCGCAAGGCUAAAACUCAAAGGAAUUGACGGGGGGCCCGCACAAGCGGCGGAGCAUGUGGAUUAAUUCGAUGCAACGCGAAGAACCUUACCUGGGUUUGACAUGCACCUGACGCGUCCAGAGAUGGGCGUUCCCUUGUGGUAGGUGUGCAGGUGGUGCAUGGCUGUCGUCAGCUCGUGUCGUGAGAUGUUGGGUUAAGUCCCGCAACGAGCGCAACCCUUGUCCUAUGUUGCCAGCACGUAAUGGUGGGGACUCAUGGGAGACUGCCGGGGUCAACUCGGAGGAAGGUGGGGAUGACGUCAAGUCAUCAUGCCCCUUAUGUCCAGGGCUUCACGACAUGCUACAAUGGCCGGUUACAGAGGGCUGCGAAACCGUGAGGUGGAGCGAAUCUCGUAAAGCCGGUCUCAGUUCGGAUCGGGGUC